This 300-nucleotide ribosomal RNA is filed under the name uncultured bacterium. RNAcentral describes it as "bacterial SSU rRNA". It matches the Rfam family "Bacterial small subunit ribosomal RNA", at positions 334 to 631 of the family's 1533-position model. The record is from RNAcentral.
UUUUCCUACGGGACGCAGCAGUGAGGAAUAUUGGUCAAUGGGCGGGAGCCUGAACCAGCCAAGUCGCGUGAGGGAAGACGGUCCUAUGGAUUGUAAACCUCUUUAGGCGGGGAGCAAUGCCGGGCACGCGUGUCCGGAGGGAGAGUACCCGCAGAAUAAGCAUCGGCUAACUCCGUGCCAGCAGCCGCGGUAAUACGGAGGAUGCGAGCGUUAUCCGGAUUUAUUGGGUUUAAAGGGUGCGUAGGCGGAUUUUUAAGUCAUCGGUAAAAUGUCCGGGCUUAACCCGGGCCGGCCUUUGUA